Molecule: ribosomal RNA, 492 nt
Filed under: uncultured bacterium
Lineage: Bacteria
Description: partial 16S ribosomal RNA
Rfam family: Bacterial small subunit ribosomal RNA
Source: RNAcentral
AGUGAACGCUGGCGGUAGGCCUAACACAUGCAAGUCGAACGGCAGCACAGUAAGAGCUUGCUCUUACGGGUGGCGAGUGGCGGACGGGUGCGGAAUACAUCCGAAUCUACUUUUUCGUAGGGGCUAACGUAGGGAAACUUACGCCAAUACCGCAUACGACCUACGGGUGAAAGCAUGGGAUCUUCGGAUCUUGCGCGAUUGAAUGAGCCGAUGUCGGAUUAGCUAGUUGGCGGGGUAAAGGCCCACCAAGGCGACGAUCCGUAGCUGGUCUGAGAGGAUGAUCAGCCACACUGGAACUGAGACACGGUCCAGACUCCUACGGGAGGCAGCAGUGGGGAAUAUUGGACAAUGGGCGCAAGCCUGAUCCAGCCAUACCGCGUGUGUGAAGAAGGCCUUCGGGUUGUAAAGCACUUUUGUUGGGAAAGAAAAGCAGCAGGUUAAUACCCCGCUGUUCUGACGGUACCAAAAGAAUAAGCACCGGCUAACUUCGUG